Molecule: ribosomal RNA, 500 nt
Filed under: uncultured bacterium
Lineage: Bacteria
Description: partial 16S ribosomal RNA
Rfam family: Bacterial small subunit ribosomal RNA
Source: RNAcentral
AUUGAACGCUGGCGGCAGGCCUAACACAUGCAAGUCGAGCGGAUGAAGAGAGCUUGCUCUCUGAUUUAGCGGCGGACGGGUGAGUAAUGCCUAGGAAUCUGCCUGGUAGUGGGGGAUAACGUUCCGAAAGGAACGCUAAUACCGCAUACGUCCUACGGGAGAAAGUGGGGGAUCUUCGGACCUCACGCUAUCAGAUGAGCCUAGGUCGGAUUAGCUAGUUGGUGAGGUAAUGGCUCACCAAGGCGACGAUCCGUAACUGGUCUGAGAGGAUGAUCAGUCACACUGGAACUGAGACACGGUCCAGACUCCUACGGGAGGCAGCAGUGGGGAAUAUUGGACAAUGGGCGAAAGCCUGAUCCAGCCAUGCCGCGUGUGUGAAGAAGGUCUUCGGAUUGUAAAGCACUUUAAGUUGGGAGGAGGGGUUGUAGAUUAAUACUCUGCAAUUUUGACGUUACCGACAGAAUAAGCACCGGCUAACUUCGUGCCAGCCGCCGCGGUAA